GAUGAACGCUAGCGGCAGGCCUAACACAUGCAAGUCGAACGGUAACAUAAGGUGCUUGCACUUUGAUGACGAGUGGCGCACGGGUGCGCAACGCGUAUAGAACCUACCCUGUACAGGGGGAUAGCCCAGAGAAAUUUGGAUUAAUACCCCGUGGUAAAUAUGAAUGGCAUCAUUUAUAUUUUAAAGUUUUCGGACGGUACGGGAUGGCUAUGCGUCCUAUUAGUUAGAUGGUGAGGUAACGGCUCACCAUGGCAGCGAUAGGUAGGGGCCCUGAGAGGGGGAUCCCCCACACUGGUACUGAGACACGGACCAG
This 313-nucleotide ribosomal RNA is filed under the name uncultured bacterium. Its description in RNAcentral is "bacterial SSU rRNA". It matches the Rfam family "Bacterial small subunit ribosomal RNA", at positions 28 to 334 of the family's 1533-position model. The record is from RNAcentral.